GACGAACGCUGGCGGCGUGCUUAACACAUGCAAGUCGAGCGGUAAGGCCCUUUCGGGGGUACACGAGCGGCGAACGGGUGAGUAACACGUGGGUGACCUGCCCUCAGCUCUGGGAUAAGCCUGGGAAACCGGGUCUAAUACCGGAUAUGACUCCAUGACGCAUGUUGUGGGGUGGAAAGCCUUGUGCGGCUGAGGAUGGGCCCGCGGCCUAUCAGCUUGUUGGUGGGGUNAUGGCUACCAAGGCGACGACGGGUAGCCGGCCUGAGAGGGCGACCGGCCACACU
RNAcentral lists this ribosomal RNA (284 nucleotides) under uncultured bacterium. Its description in RNAcentral is "partial 16S ribosomal RNA". It matches the Rfam family "Bacterial small subunit ribosomal RNA", at positions 28 to 314 of the family's 1533-position model. The record is from RNAcentral.